UAUGUUAUGAUUUUGAAGUGAAGUUUUUGUUUUAUACAAAUGGGCAUUUGAAUAAGUUGUUUUGUUGUUACUGUUUUUAGUUCUUGAAGGAACAACAAUCACCCAAUCAUCGGACUUUCAAUCUCGUUGCCGGAGUUUCAGUUUUCCUGUUGCCGACGUUUCAUAAAACGGUAGCAAGUUGUCCGAUCUUGAAGGAAUCAGAACCUCCGGCCAACCAAUCGACGAUCACAUAAUCGAUGGUGUCCUCCCACUUUCCACCGCCUCAUACUAGAAAUUGAAAAAGGCAUGUCAAAAGUCAUUGUUUUUUUUUAAUACCGAUAAAAAAAAAUUUAUUGUUUAGAGGGGAGAUCCACCCUACGCCCAGCUGACGUGCUAGUUUUUGGUUGGGAGGGCGGGAAACAUACUUGUGUCGAUCUCACAGGUGUAUCCCCACUAGCCGGGUUCCAGAAAAAUGGGUUUGUGGCGGGGCAAGCGGUACUGAAAGCAGAGUCAAAGAAGGUGGAAAAGCACGUGAAAGCUUGUGAGGAUAAUCAGCAUGCCUUUGUCCCCCUGGCGUUUGACACGUUCGGCUCCUUGGCGCCGGAAGCAGUUCGGUUCUUGUCUAGAGUUCAGUGUGUGGUCCAUAGCAACUUUUCGACCCCUCAGGGGCUGGGCUUUGUUUUUAGUAGAUUAGGGUUUUCUAUUCAGAAAUGGAUAGGCUGGACUUUGUUUUUAGUAGAUUAGGGUUUUCUAUUCAGAAAUAGAUGACGGCGCAGUUUGUUGCACGUCUACCUGCUAUCCUUAUUUCAUUGUUUGAAACAUUGCAAAAGAUCAGGGAAAGUAUAUAUAUUUUUUCACUUUAUCCAUAUUUUUUUUUCUUAAAUUUGAUUGAUCAAUGAAAAGGAAAUUGUUUACUAAAUUUAAAGUAUUUCAAAAGUUUCAUUUAGUUGUGACAUUUAGAAUGGAAGACAUUUACCUGCUUCUAGAUAUGAGGUUACCAACAAAGAUUUGAUGGCGUAGUAUUCCUUUCAUGGAUUGUAAUGGAAUUGGAAUGAGAAUUCGCACAGAAAUUGAAAUAUGAUUUGUAAUUUAGGUGUGUUUGUU
RNAcentral lists this long non-coding RNA (1083 nucleotides) under Helianthus annuus (common sunflower). Its description in RNAcentral is "hypothetical non coding rna". The record is from RNAcentral. Lineage: Eukaryota; Viridiplantae; Streptophyta; Magnoliopsida; Asterales; Asteraceae.